Molecule: long non-coding RNA, 991 nt
Filed under: Nicotiana benthamiana
Lineage: Eukaryota; Viridiplantae; Streptophyta; Magnoliopsida; Solanales; Solanaceae
Description: long non-coding RNA (NBEN_LNC023298)
Source: RNAcentral
AUUGGAUUGAGUACAAAGUACUAAUACCACCAAAUGUGAGCUAGGCAAAGGAUAGCGCAUGAUUGCAAUAUCGUUUCCUGCAAAAAAAGAAUACUAGGUUAGUGAUUCCUAUCCCUUCUAAAAUUUGCCUGCCAACACUGAUUUGUAUGUUGUUGUCUUUUCCAGUUGCUUCUAAAAUUUCCUUCAGAUAUAAAUUGUUCUGCAUUAAGUUUGCCUGGCUCCCUGUAUGUAUAGUUGGAAUCCUGAGUAAUGAAUUGAUCUACCUUGCUUCUUAGUUUUAUGUUUGCACCAGAUGCACACAUAACUGAACCAAUCAGUUUUGUUAUUUAUUAUGUAUGCGAUACAGUGAUAACAUAUGUCUAUCAUGAUGUGCCUCACUUCAUGUGAUAUUGAAAUGUUGAUCUGCACUUUGAUAUCACCUCUAAGCAGCUCAACUCCUUUUGUAUGUACUUGCCAAUAAAAUAUGCAUAAAGUAUAUAGCAACAGAGUAUUCUUCCAAAAUUCUUUACUUUUGUCUACCAUUAACUUGCUCCCAGGGCAAUGAGUGCAUUGUACUAAUACCACCAACUGAGAUUCAUCAAAUAGUAGGGCAUAGAGACAGUAACUUUUUCCUUCCCUCAGAAUAUGUGAAAUUCGAAUAUUGCAUUCCUCAUCAGCAUUUUAAUUAUUGUGUGUGCAUGUGUUUGAAUUGCGCUUAAGGUAGUUUGGAAGAGAAGAGACUUAAUAUAGCAGCUAUAGAACUUGAAAACUUUCAGGUGAAGCUUUUUGAAGAUUAGGUUAAGAGGCAAAUGACUCUUUGUUUUAUGUUGGUUAGGCAAAACUUAUUACAUGCAACAUUCUUUCGAACUGAAUAUUUGAAGCUAAGUGUAUUUGUCAAUUAGUACAUUCAACAAUAGAUACACAAUUAACACAACAAGAAUUUAUAUCUUUCUAGUCUAUUUGUGUCAAUCAGUUUUCUUCUUUGCUAACCUAUAUUCUGUUUGCUUUUCAG